UUGAGCCGGAUGAGAGGAAACUUUCAUGUCCGAUCCUGAGGGGGGGAAAUCUUUGAAAAACCUAUCCGAAU
Molecule: non-coding RNA, 71 nt
Organism: Picea glauca (white spruce)
Lineage: Eukaryota; Viridiplantae; Streptophyta; Pinopsida; Pinales; Pinaceae
Source: Rfam